CGAGAGCUCCAAGUGGGCCAU
RNAcentral lists this small nuclear RNA (21 nucleotides) under Arabidopsis thaliana (thale cress). Its description in RNAcentral is "snRNA_15675". Lineage: Eukaryota; Viridiplantae; Streptophyta; Magnoliopsida; Brassicales; Brassicaceae. The record is from RNAcentral.